CCAAUAGCGUAUAUUAAAGUUGUUGCAGUUAAAAAGCUCGUAGUUGAAUUUCGGGAUUAGUACGUUGGUCGUGCCUUCGGUACGUACUGGUGUUACUGAUUCCUACCUUCUGACGAACCAUCAUGUCAUUAAUUUGGUGUGGCGGGGAAUCAGGACUGUUACUUUGAAAAAAUUAGAGUGUGUAAAGCAGGCUCGCGCUUGAAUACAUUAGCCUGGAAUAAUGAAAUAGGACGUUGACCCUAUUUUGUUGGUUUCUAGGAUUGACGUAAUGAUUAAUAGGGAUAGUUGGGGGCAUUAGUAUUCAAUUGUCAGAGGUGAAAUUCUUGGAUUUAUUGAAGACUGACUACUGCGAAAGCAUUUGCCAAGGAUGUUUUCAUUAAUCAAGAACGAAAGUUAGGGGAUCGAAGACGAUCAGAUACCGUCGUAGUCUUAACCAUAAACUAUGCCGACUAGGGAUCGGAUGAUGUUAUUUUUAAUGACUCAUUCGGCGCCUUACG
RNAcentral lists this ribosomal RNA (497 nucleotides) under uncultured Glomeromycotina. RNAcentral describes it as "partial small subunit ribosomal RNA". It matches the Rfam family "Eukaryotic small subunit ribosomal RNA", at positions 591 to 1092 of the family's 1831-position model. Lineage: Eukaryota; Fungi; Glomeromycota. The record is from RNAcentral.